RNAcentral lists this ribosomal RNA (425 nucleotides) under uncultured bacterium. Its description in RNAcentral is "partial 16S ribosomal RNA". It matches the Rfam family "Bacterial small subunit ribosomal RNA", at positions 354 to 796 of the family's 1533-position model. The record is from RNAcentral.
GUGGGGAAUAUUGGACAAUGGGCGCAAGCCUGAUCCAGCCAUGCCGCGUGAGUGAUGAAGGCCUUAGGGUUGUAAAGCUCUUUCGUCAGGGAAGAUAAUGACGGUACCUGAAGAAGAAGCCCCGGCUAACUUCGUGCCAGCAGCCGCGGUAAUACGAAGGGGGCUAGCGUUGCUCGGAAUCACUGGGCGUAAAGCGCACGUAGGCGGCUUUCUAAGUCAGGGGUGAAAUCCUGGAGCUCAACUCCAGAACUGCCUUUGAUACUGGAGAGCUUGAGUUCGGGAGAGGUGAGUGGAACUGCGAGUGUAGAGGUGAAAUUCGUAGAUAUUCGCAAGAACACCAGUGGCGAAGGCGGCUCACUGGCCCGUUACUGACGCUGAGGCGCGAAAGCGUGGGGAGCAAACAGGAUUAGAAACCCCAGUAGUCC